RNAcentral lists this long non-coding RNA (6901 nucleotides) under Gallus gallus (chicken). RNAcentral's name for it is "lncRNA (ENSGALG00010025244.1)". The record is from RNAcentral. Lineage: Eukaryota; Metazoa; Chordata; Aves; Galliformes; Phasianidae.
UUUGAACUUAGAAAAUAUACCCUGUUCUAUUCAGUGUGGGACUUCUGAAUAGGUUAGCUGCAUUUUGAUACAGCAUCAUCUGCAGCAGUGCAUUGAGGUUUAGAGCCUUGUAUAUUAAACAUGCCAGCAGAUACUUCUCACAAUAGCUGCCUCCUCUUUCUCCAUGUAUGAAUAAUGCAGGGAGUUCCAGAUCAUCUGUCCCUGUCAUUGCUGCUGCAUAUUGAUAUAGUCACAAAGACUAACUGUUAGAGAGCAAAACGUGUGAGGAUGUUCCCUGACCUUUCCCUUCUCCCACCAGUAAAUCCUAUUUUUUUCUAUGGAGGCAACAAGCACUAUCUGCUGGCAGCAGUGUUUUGGUGAUCUGUGUACAACCAAACACAGGGCUGAGUAGUUCUCAGGAAGGUCACGUUAGUGUGGAUCUCAGUGAUCCUCUGACUUAUUUCUGUGAUCCUCUUUUGUGCCAGAUAGCAAAAUCGAAUUCCCCUUCCUGUCUCUGAUCUCUGUCUCAUGUCACUGCAGGGUACAGGUAUCCUCCACCAGGCACAGCCCCACCUGCAGUGCUGCAGGAGGGCACAGAGGGGACUUCAAGGGAUCUGGGGGGUUUUAGUCCACCCCGUAUAGCUGAACCUCAGGGGGCUCCCAUAGGCUGACCUUGGUUUUCAAAGUCUGAGUCUAUGGAGGGACAAAGAGGCAUAUGCCUCCUAUAACAGCUUUCCUUGUUGAAGAGGUAGGAGGGAGCUGUGAGGCAACCCUCUCUUACUUGCUGAAGAUUCAGGCUUAUCUGGGAGCCUGCAGGUGUCAGAAGUGGAGCGGAUGGCACUGCACCCCUUUGCACUGCUGUCCGUGCCAACAGGGCUGGCCCUCCUGGAUGCUCACAUAUUUGUUAGGAAAAGUGGAUCCAGAGGUCCCUGCUACAGCUGGCAGGCACAGCCACCACCUGUCUGCAUAGGCAAAUGCUGGCAGUUGCUGUUGCAAUGCUCCGCUUCCCCUCUCCCUGGAAGCCACAGUGCAGCGCUGCCUCCUAUUCCAAACACCAUUUUAUUACAGCUCCUCCUAAAGCCUGUUGUUUUCUCAGUGUGGAUGGCAGCGACGUGAGUUUGGCUCAGUGUGGCUCUUCCCUCUCUUGUGCAUUGCUGUGGGUGAGAGUGAGGAGAUCUGUGUCCUCAGGGGGCAGCUUGGCAGAAAAGGGACCUUGCUGGGGAACGCACACUGGCACCCACAGGCGAGGGGUGCUGGGAGCUAGAGCCUAGCUGGCAGCUGGGUGGAAGUGAUGGUGGCUUCUUGUAGAGAGGCACUCUAGGACCUUAUGGAAUGAUGAGGACAAGGACUGAGUCUCCCGGAGCUCUUCCAGGCACUGGUACACUGUAGCCCCCAGACAGAUGUAAUUGAUGAGACAUCCCGCUGUAUGUAGUAAUGGGUGUUGUGUGACUCACCCUAAUGAACAAAAACAAUGCCACGUGCCUCCUAAUGGGACUUCUGGUCUUCAUGUCCCAGUGUUUGCUAUGAAUUAUUUAAGGCAUCAGGAGGGAUCUGUGAGUAAUGACAUCUCUGCUGAUUAUGUUUCACCUCAGAUGACUCCAGGAGUCUGCUUAGCAGUUCAGGUCUGUUUUGGUCCUUCACUGGUGGAUCUGCCAGCUUGCAAAUUUCUCCAAACUCUUAUUCUCUGCUUUCCUUUAGCUCUUGAUUAGGUCUGUCAGAAAAGGAAGACAAGCAAGUUAGCUUUUAAAUCUGAGGACAGUAGCGAUAUUCGCGGCAGGAUCUUAUUCAGGCAAGUGUGUGAAGAGUGUGCAAGGUGUGCACAAGAGCCUUCUGCAAUUCAUGCUCCUGGACCUCACAGGCCCUCUCCCUUUUGUUGUAGGCAGAAAGCCCUGACUCAUGGCAAUCCAAGCUUCAGACAAAGUUGGUUGGAGCACCAUGAUCAUAAACUCCAUCAUAGAUUGGCUAUCAGCAGGAUGGAGGUAGGUGAAACGGAUGGGAAGUGCCAGCUGCUGUACAGUGCAUGACCUGCUGCAGACCCAGCAGCUCGAUGAGUCCAAGGCUGGUGCUUCUGUUGCAAUAAGAGAGUUCAUUGAGGAAGGAAGAAAGAUGAAGGGAGGAGGCACUGGACUUUGGCUUUGGUGUUCAGAGUAGAACAAAUGCUUCGAAAAACUUCGAUUUUGUGGUAGUUUGCUUUUUUAUUUUAUUACUGUUAUUAAACUUGUUGUGUUCACUUUUUCACUCAGUGCCUUGAGGUUGCACUGUGCUCUGGGUUUUGUGUGAAGCCAUUCUUCUAGCUGCAGCCUUGGAACAGAGAGCCUGAAGGGGACUUUGGGAAGAUUAAAGAUUGCUUUAAGAGAAUGAAUGAAAGCAGACAGCCGGUAUUUCCCAGAGCUAAGAGCUGGUGCGGAGCCUUAGCGCUUUGUCGCAGCUCUGAAUCUGCCAUUGCCAAUGACCAAAGGGGAUAAAACUGAACAUCUGCCAUCUGUGACUUUUGACCAGAGAGGGACGAUCCUCCUUAUUCUGGGGAAUGAAGCCCUGAUUUAAAGCACUUCAUGCCCUGCUUUCGCUGAUAUGAGAAGGGCACAUAUGUUAGGGUCAGGCUUCAGUUUUAAGGAGCCUGCUUUUGAUUACAAGCCUGCAAUAGAGCCGUGGAAAGGAAAACAGUUUCCCUUGAAGGAAAUGAAUUAGGAGGCUUUUGUGGAAGCAAAACCAAAGGAAUGAAUGUUGCAGUGCUGCAGUGAGGGGCAAGCUGCACUUCCACUGUACACAAGUGCCUCCAGUUCUUGGCCUUUUCUUUGUUUUGGUGCACAUUGCCUAGAUCCUAAAAUAUCCAACCUGUGCAACGUCAAGACAAAGCAGUUAAGGAGGCAGCAUCUUGAAGAAGCUCUUCUCAGGAGGCAGUGGCUGUUGGAAAUGGCUGAGGUAACCAGGUGCGGUGGGAUAUUUUUAUCCUUUCCCAAGUAGGAGGAUUUAAGAGGACUUCAAAAACAGAGCCAACGUUAUUUUUAAACACAACAGUUUAAAGAGUUCGGGAUUUUUCUAUUGCCGUAAUAGACCAAGUGUUUCAAAGAUCUAUCCUCUUUAUCUCACUCUUAAGGUCCCCAAGGGGACAUCAAAGCAGAAGCCAGUGGAUUUGGCCUGUCAAAGUGGGGGGUAAGGACACAUCCUGGAUGACAGUGUGGCAUUUGUCUGUGGUUAGCUAUUGCUAGCAGUCAGGCCUGGAAGUGGUAUAAGGUUGUAGCAGGAUGGGAAUGAGGAAGGUGGUAGAAGUUGCUCGCGCAGCUCUAUUUCCCCAGCAGCACUGAACUCGUGUUGGCAAGCUGUGAAGGAGUGGCUCCAUGGAACCAUUGAGCCUUGGCAGUCUUAUUCAUACAUCCUUCUGUUCUCACCUUCUCAUUCCUUCUUACUUUAAAAUUAAAAAAAAACAACAACCCACCACCACCAACAAAAAAACCCUUAAGAAAAUAAUGUGUUUGCUUGUAUAGUUUAGAAGAAUAAAAUAACCACAUUAGCAAGACUUGUAUUUAUUCCUGGCAUCAUUUUCCCCAUUAGGAAGAAGUAUGUCAUAACUUCUGUAACAGACUGCAAAUGCUUUGGCCAAUGGAUUGAUGUGCCCUGUGAUUUAACAGGUAUUUGUUAGAGAUGACUCGACUGUGCUCCCCUGAAAACAAUCAAAACAGAUGGGAUAUCACAUGAAGAAAAUCCCCCCAAAAGCUUAAAGACAGUAAGAACAGAGAUCUGCUAAAACAUGAUUGCUAAUUCUUCCCAGGAUGCAAAGUUUAAAAACAAUUAGAUGGAGGCACAAACUGUGCAAGCAAAUCCAUUUCCACGUGCAAAAUUUUCUGUUAGCAAUUGCAAAUUGGACAGCGAGUUGAAAUUCUCCCCAGUGGAGAAGAGGAAAGCAGAAAGGCUUCUGCCCCUCUCAAAUCUUGUUUGUCUCUGUGGUACUUACAGAGCCCUCAUUAAUGAAGUAUUUAAGCUUGUUACAACCUUAUUGCAGCCCCUGAGAAUAACAUUCAUUUCACAGCAUAAAGUGAAGUACAGGAGCUGUGUUAACACUUUCUGUGGCUCAGUUGUCCUGGGAGCAGCAGCCUGCAGCAUCCCCAGCCUCAAACCUGCACAUCCAUCAUGCCCUCCUGGGCAGGCUGUACUGCAGGUCCCAUCUGCCAUGGUGGAAGGUGACGGGAUUUAAGAUCCUGGGGCCGUGUUGUCUCCACCAGCCUCAGCCCUCAGGUAUGUGGGAAUGCAGCCUCCUACCCUGUGCUCAGUCUGGCUUCAGGUCCUCAAAAGCCCAGGAAAAAGGGUUAUAUCUGAUGUCCUUGGGUCCUUCUGCCCAACGAGGGCCCUCUGACAUGGACUGUGGGCAGAGGCAAUGCUUAGGACACAGUGCACUGGUAAAAAUGACCUGAGGGAGUUUUUUCCCAUUCUCUAUAGCUGUCCAUCCUCCUUCCAGAAAAAUCCAAGCUCAUCCCUGAAGUGAGCUGUUUGGGGGCAAUUUUCACCCUGUUGGUGAUUGCCUUCUUCCUUCUGAUAAUGCAGGUGGCUGCAUGCUUCGCAGAUGAAUCGAUAUGGAGGAAGAAAGCCCUAAUUUGCUGCAACCUUUGACUUUUCAAGUCAUGACCAAUGGAGACGUUUCAAAAUCAUGGCUCAGAGGUACCUGGCAAAGCUCCCGUGGUGCUGCACCUUGCUGUCUCCUGCACUGAGCAGCACUGGAUGGACUAGGAGUGGCCAUCUACGUUUUUUAUUUGCAAAAACGGAAUCCCUUUGAGCACAGCCAAACUCUUCUCUUUGAGAUUCAACAUAGCCAAACUCUUCUUCUUUUUUAAUCUCUCCAUCUGCAAAGCUUCCCAAAUACUUCUGAUCCAGAAGCCAGGAUCGUACGGUGCCUGUGAGUGGGGCUGCUGCUGCGCUGCGAAGGCCUGUCUGAAAGGCUCUGACAGGAAGAAAAUAUGUUUUCUGCAGCCCCUGGCUUCCUGCCAGCUGCACGAUAGCUGCUGCGGAGACAGACUAGCCCAGACGGUCCUAAUACAUCAUAAUAUUAAUACUGCUAUUUUUGUCUGUACAGCUUUUGAGAUAGCAUCAUCAAAACUGGACACGGUGCUCAGUUGGGCACUUCCAGCACUGCAGGGUAUCAGAGAACACCUACGAGAAACCAGAAUGUGAGCUGGGCAGUAGGAGCCCUGAGGCCCAUCUCCUGCACACUGUGGCAGUGAAGGGAAUUACCACAAAGUCAGCGUUGGAAGUGUCUGGCCUUCCAAGGUUGGUUGAGUUUGAUGCUUAGGAUGUAGUGACAGAGCACCUGGGUUUUCCCAUGAUGUCACCAGAUGGAUUAACUUCAAAAGGAUCAGCCAUCCUGAUCCUCCUACCCUGACCUCACCAGCCAUGUACAGACACCUGGCUUCCACAGCAGCACAAAGAAACCAGCUCUUAUCCUCAGAUGCUUAAACUGAUUGCAUCCCUGAUCCGUUUGGUCAGCCUCUGAAUGGCACUUCCCCUUGCUUGAGUCAUUUAAUCACCGCUGCCAAUCAGCACUAUUGAGCAGAGCAACAAUACGUCUCAAAGCUCAAUCACCUUCACAAUCCUCUCACUGUCAGCCCAUGUGUCUCCCUGCAGGGCAGAAUUACUGUAGAUGAGAUGCAGGGUGGUUUUGUAAUUGAAAUGUUCGCUCAUAUGUGCGUGUGUCUCAUGAGGACGCGUGACUAUGUGUAUAUACAUGGGUAUGUGUGCCGUGCUUUGAAAUGCAGACUAAGUGUUGGGGGGCAGCGUGCAUUCAGAAAGGAAAUUAUGCAUUGAAACUGCAUUUGCAUCUUCUUAACUAUUCAGUCAGCUGAGAAAUACACUGAGAAGCAGCAGCAGUGCGCAAGGCUUGCUGUGACACUGAGCUGCACUCGUGUGCUCAGCUGAGUGGGCUCACAUGGGCAUGAGAGACAAUCACAGAAUCAUUGAUGUUGGAAAAGAUCACUAAGAUCAUCUGGAGACCCUGUGCAGGGACGUCUUUUGGUGCUAGAUCUCCUCAUCGUCAUCACAUGGCACAAGCCACUCACAUUCCACUUCUGAAAUUCAGCAACUUGCGCUGGAAAUUGGCUUGUGAGGAGAGGGGCCUUGGGGAACCGGCUCAGCUUGGUGAGACGGGCGGUCCCAGCUCAGUGCUGGCCGCCCAUGGCCCAGGGAGGUGGGGAAGUGUUCCUGCCUGCCUUCCCAUCUCUUGCCCUUUCCUUCCCAGAAAAAUCUCUGAAGUUUUCAUUUCCACCUUCAAUCCAAAUCAAAUUUCAGACUUCAAAUUUCAAAUUUCGGCUCAAGAAAUGGUGAUUUUCCAUUCCCAUUCCUCAUUCCUUUUCAGCUUUGUCCCCUGCUUUCUCUCUGCUUCACCCCUCCUGAUAUUCAGCAGCCGGAGACAAACCUUUGUGUGCUCUGUGCUCUGGAGCAGCCUUCAUAAACACUGCCUUUGCUUUCUGGGAAAGUCCAGCAGCAGGGACACGUGUUAGCUCUGGGUCAUUCCAAGGGGUACCAAGUCCUGCAACCCUUAAGCUCAAUGGCGUUGCUGGGAUCAUUGGUGUUUGACCCUGUAUGUAGUGUAAGGCUAAUGGUAUGUAAUGCUCUGUUGUGAUUCAUCAAUCAUGCAUCUAGAUACUAAUUAUAAUCCGCCUCUUAUGUAUGCCACUAGCCUAUAAUUUUAAUCCCAAACAUUUGUGUGUGUAAUGAGGCAGUGCUUUUGUGCCUUACAUCCUGGUGUAAGCCUGUGAUUUGCGCCAUGCUGGAAAUACAAAAUCAAAUAAGAGGGAAUAAAAAUAAAACAGCGGAAAACUUUUGCCCUUUGAAUUUGACAUAUAAAAAGUGUUGCGAUGACUUCAAAAUUUGCAAAGCAAACAACUGAAUGUGCAUGUGUCUGCAGCCAUGUAUAUCAAGGUAACUUUCAAAGCCC